UAAGAAAGCAGAUCGCAUGAUCAGCUUUUAAAAGGACGGCGUAAAGCUGUCGCUAUGGGGAUGGCCUCGCGGUGCAUUAGCUAGUUGGUAAGGUAAAGGCUUACCAAGGCGAUGAUGCAUAGCCGAGUUGAGAGACUGAUCGGCCACAUUGGGACUGAGACACGGCCCAAAAACUCCUACGGGAGGCAGCAGUAGGGAAUCUUCCACAAUGGACGCAAGUCUGAUGGAGCAACGCCGCGUGAGUGAAGAAGGUUUUCGGAUCGUAAAGCUCUGUUGUUGGUGAAGAAGGAUAGAGGUAGUAACUGGCCUUUAUUUGACGGUAAUCAACCAGAAAGUCACGGCUAACUACGUGCCAGCAGCCGCGGGUAAU
RNAcentral lists this ribosomal RNA (370 nucleotides) under uncultured Lactobacillus sp. Its description in RNAcentral is "bacterial SSU rRNA". It matches the Rfam family "Bacterial small subunit ribosomal RNA", at positions 173 to 524 of the family's 1533-position model. The record is from RNAcentral. Lineage: Bacteria; Bacillati; Bacillota; Bacilli; Lactobacillales; Lactobacillaceae.